AUCUCUGAGCAUAAGAAGCAAUACACUCGUCACAGAAAGUUUAUGAUCGUAAGAAUAAUUAUUAAAUUGGACAUGGAGAAAGCACAUAACAGAGAGGAUUGGUGUUAUCCAGAAGUCAUCUUAACCAAUAAUAAAUCUCCAUAGAAUCCUUCAAAUCCGUUAAGAAAGGAUGCCCAAUUUCUCCAUAUCCAUACAUAUUAUGUGCAG
This 207-nucleotide long non-coding RNA is filed under the name Elaeis guineensis (African oil palm). Its description in RNAcentral is "long non-coding RNA (EGUI_LNC019671)". The record is from RNAcentral. Lineage: Eukaryota; Viridiplantae; Streptophyta; Magnoliopsida; Arecales; Arecaceae.